RNAcentral lists this ribosomal RNA (464 nucleotides) under uncultured bacterium. Its description in RNAcentral is "partial 16S ribosomal RNA". It matches the Rfam family "Bacterial small subunit ribosomal RNA", at positions 339 to 795 of the family's 1533-position model. The record is from RNAcentral.
CUACGGGGCGCUGCAGUAGGGAAUUUUCGGCAAUGGGCGAAAGCCUGACCGAGCAAUGCCGCGUGAACGAUGAAGGUCUUCGGAUCGUAAAGUUCUGUUAUUAGGGAAGAACAUACAGUCUAGGAAAUGAUUCUGUACUGACGGUACCUAACCAGAAAGCUCCGGCUAACUACGUGCCAGCAGCCGCGGUAAUACGUAGGGAGCGAGCGUUAUCCGGAAUUAUUGGGCGUACAGCGUGCGUAGGCGGUUUACUAAGUCAAAUCUGAAAGCCCACAGCUUAACUGUGGAGGGUGAUUUGAAACUGGUAGACUUGAGUACGGCAGAGGUUAGUGGAAUUCAAUGUGUAGCGGUGUAAUGCGUAGAUAUAUUGAGGAACACCAGUGGCGAAGGCUGCUAACUGGACCGGAACUGACGCUGAGGCACGAAAGCGUGUGGAGCAAACAGGAUUAGAUACCCCCGUAGUC